CUCAGUUUUUGGCAAACUAACUGAAAAGUUAGGACGCAAAGUUUCCGGUCUAAGGUUUUGUUAACAAAACUAUGAUAGCGGGGCCGCCGAU
RNAcentral lists this non-coding RNA (91 nucleotides) under Pseudoalteromonas lipolytica. RNAcentral's name for it is "c-di-GMP sequence". It matches the Rfam family "c-di-GMP-I riboswitch aptamer". Rfam says of the family: GEMM was predicted in a large-scale screen for bacterial structured RNA regulatory elements. The record is from RNAcentral. Lineage: Bacteria; Pseudomonadati; Pseudomonadota; Gammaproteobacteria; Alteromonadales; Pseudoalteromonadaceae.